Molecule: small nuclear RNA, 105 nt
Filed under: Spalax microphthalmus (greater blind mole rat)
Lineage: Eukaryota; Metazoa; Chordata; Mammalia; Rodentia; Spalacidae
Description: 4.5S1 RNA
Source: RNAcentral
GAGCUGGAGGGAUGGCGCAGCGUUAAAGGCUAAGGCUAACAACCAAAACGUUAAAGGUUCGAAUCCCAGCACCCACAAAUGAGUGCUGUCUCUUCGGCUUCCUUU